AUGUACCCACGUACACUCCGGUUCCUCCGCGCCGUCCGCACCCACCUGACGGCUGCUCGCUACGU
This 65-nucleotide small RNA is filed under the name Xanthomonas campestris pv. campestris. RNAcentral's name for it is "partial sX9 sRNA". It matches the Rfam family "Xanthomonas sRNA sX9", at positions 1 to 66 of the family's 76-position model. The record is from RNAcentral. Lineage: Bacteria; Pseudomonadati; Pseudomonadota; Gammaproteobacteria; Lysobacterales; Lysobacteraceae.